RNAcentral lists this ribosomal RNA (497 nucleotides) under uncultured bacterium. RNAcentral's name for it is "partial 16S ribosomal RNA". It matches the Rfam family "Bacterial small subunit ribosomal RNA", at positions 28 to 507 of the family's 1533-position model. The record is from RNAcentral.
GAUGAACGCUGGCGGCGUGCCUAAUACAUGCAAGUCGAGCGAACAGACGAGGAGCUUGCUCCUCUGACGUUAGCGGCGGACGGGUGAGUAACACGUGGAUAACCUACCUAUAAGACUGGGAUAACUUCGGGAAACCGGAGCUAAUACCGGAUAAUAUAUUGAACCGCAUGGUUCAAUAGUGAAAGACGGUUUUGCUGUCACUUAUAGAUGGAUCCGCGCCGCAUUAGCUAGUUGGUAAGGUAACGGCUUACCAAGGCAACGAUGCGUAGCCGACCUGAGAGGGUGGUCGGCCACACUGGAACUGAGGCACGGUCCAGACUCCUACGGGAGGCAGCAGUAGGGAAUCUUCCGCAAUGGGCGAAAGCUUGACGGAGCAACGCCGCGUGAGUGAUGAAGGUCUUCGGAUCGUAAAGCUCUGUUAUUAGGGAAGAACAAAUGUGUAAGUAACUAUGCACGUCUUGACGGUACCUAAUCAGAAAGCCACGGCUAACUACGUG